UACGGAGGGUGCGAGCGUUAAUCGGAAUUACUGGGCGUAAAGCGCGCGUAGGUGGUUUUGUAAGUCAGGGGUGAAAUCCCACCGCUCAACGGUGGAACAGCCUUUGAUACUGCAAAGCUAGAGUAUCGGAGAGGGUGGCGGAAUUCCAGGUGUAGGAGUGAAAUCCGUAGAUAUCUGGAGGAACACCAGUGGCGAAGGCGGCCACCUGGACGAAGACUGACACUGAGGCGCGAAAGCAUGGGGAGCAAACAGG
This 253-nucleotide ribosomal RNA is filed under the name uncultured bacterium. RNAcentral's name for it is "partial 16S ribosomal RNA". It matches the Rfam family "Bacterial small subunit ribosomal RNA", at positions 524 to 776 of the family's 1533-position model. The record is from RNAcentral.